GAUGAACGCUGGCGGCGUGCUUAAUACAUGCAAGUCGAGCGGACAGACGCGGCGCUUGCUGCUCUGAUGUUUGCCGCGGGAGUGAGUGAAACACGUGGAACACCUCCCUAUCAGUCUGGGAUCACUUCGGGAAACCGGAGCUAAUACCGGAUAAGCUCUUGAACCGCAUGGUUGAAUGGUGAAAGACGGUCUUGCGGUCACUUAUCGCUGGAUCCCGGCCGGAUUGGCUAGUUGGUAAGGUAAAGACUUACCAAGGCAACCAUGCGUAGCCGACGGAAGAGGCUGAUCGGCCACACUGGAACUGAGACACGCUCAAGACGCCUACGGGAGGCAGCAGUAUGGAAUCGUAGGCAAUAGGCGAAAGUAUGGCGCAGCAACGCCGCGCGAGAGAAGAAGGUCUUCGGAUCGUAAAAAUCUGUUAUGGGUGAAGAACAGAUUUGUAAUGAGAUAUGCAGGUAUUGACGGUACCGAAUCAGGAAGCCACGGCUAACUACGUG
Molecule: ribosomal RNA, 497 nt
Filed under: uncultured bacterium
Lineage: Bacteria
Description: partial 16S ribosomal RNA
Rfam family: Bacterial small subunit ribosomal RNA
Source: RNAcentral